Dipodomys spectabilis (banner-tailed kangaroo rat) is the source of this 140-nucleotide long non-coding RNA. RefSeq lists it as uncharacterized. NCBI's taxonomy places the organism in Eukaryota, Metazoa, Chordata, Mammalia, Rodentia, Heteromyidae. The transcript has 3 exons. The record is from RefSeq and is a predicted model, not a curated record.
UAUGCUGUAAGAAUAGAUAUUUGAAAAUUGAGUUUCUCUUAGGGACCAAAUUAAGUUCAGUUGGGUUCAAUAGCUACCCUUGCUCAUCUGUCUCCCAUCUAGACAGUCACUUUCAAGGUUACUGGGGUCUCGAGUAGCCU